CACAGGAAAAAGCCAUGUAGAGACAGAGUGCAAUGUCAACUACCCUCCAGCUAUUCCAGUUUUCUCAGCCCUGGUGCUAGUCAUUUAAGCCAUGACCUGACGAUACAUGCAACAGUUUGCCUAUCAGACAGCUCUGCCAGCCUACAAGUUCCAGAAAGGCAAGCACAGCAUGUUAUCCACAUCUUCAGCAACGCAAAGGCUGAGGCUCACGAAGACUACCUGACUUUGAUCCCCAGCCCACAAACCACAGUGCAGCCCAGGAACAGAGGCUGAGGCAGUACAUUCUCACAAAGACUUCACUGCAGGGGCAAAGCCAAGGCA
Molecule: long non-coding RNA, 321 nt
Organism: Homo sapiens (human)
Lineage: Eukaryota; Metazoa; Chordata; Mammalia; Primates; Hominidae
Exons: 3
Source: RefSeq, a predicted model, not a curated record